This 468-nucleotide ribosomal RNA is filed under the name Actinomyces israelii. Its description in RNAcentral is "bacterial SSU rRNA". It matches the Rfam family "Bacterial small subunit ribosomal RNA", at positions 28 to 476 of the family's 1533-position model. Lineage: Bacteria; Bacillati; Actinomycetota; Actinomycetes; Actinomycetales; Actinomycetaceae. The record is from RNAcentral.
GACGAACGCUGGCGGCGUGCUUAACACAUGCAAGUCGAACGGGUCUGCCUUGUUUUUUGCGGGGUGGGUCAGUGGCGAACGGGUGAGUAACACGUGAGUAACCUGCCCCUCACUUCUGGAUAACCGCUUGAAAGGGUGGCUAAUACGGGGUGUUCUGGCUGUGCCGCAUGGUGUGGCUGGGAAAGAUUCACUUUUGUGGUGUUUUGGUGGGGGAUGGGCUCGCGGCCUAUCAGCUUGUUGGUGGGGUGAUGGCCUGCCAAGGCUUUGACGGGUAGCCGGCCUGAGAGGGUGGGCGGUCACACUGGGACUGAGAUACGGCCCAGACUCCUGCGGGAGGCAGCAGUGGGGGGUAUUGCACAAUGGGCGGAAGCCUGAUGCAGCGACGUCGCGUGAGGGAUGGAGGCCUUCGGGUUGUGAACCUCUUUCGCCGGUGAAGAAGGUCCUGUUCUUUGUGGUGGGGCUGACGUA